UCUAUUUUUUUUUUAAAGAAUGCAAGUUCUUGGUUGCAACACCCAUGUGAGCUCGCAGGUACCUUGAGGGGGUUUAGCGACAAUCAUCAGCUUCCCACAGUAAGAAAUGUUUUCCGCAGUAGGACAUGAAUAUUGUUUCGAUUCCCUAACAGAACAUUAAAAAUCAACGUAUGAAAGACGUAAACCAUGUUUCAGGCUGAAGCGGUGAACUCAAGCUGCAAAACCUUGGAAAUACGGAACGUUUGUCGCGAAGAAAACUGUUUUUAUUUCAAAUUUACACAGGCCACCCCUACAGAUGGUUUAAAGAGAGAUCAAGAAAAAAAAAAUGGUUGAAGAGAAUGGCUUGCCCACAAUUAGUGAUUUUAUACUAUUGCUCAUUUUUUCUAGUUAGAUAUCCUGAGUUUACUCAUUUUAGGAACCAUGGCCAUUAGGUUUAUCAUAAGAUCCGGCUUUCAAUAAAAUGUUAUCUUUCGGGUAUAUUAUAGCAUUUCCCUCCUGGCUUAACAUUCAUGCUAAUAGUCUUAAUGCUAUGUUUUAUGUUCUGACUUGACGUUUAAUGAUGAUUAUCCCGAAAUUAUCUUUGUUGUGAAUGAAGAUAAUAGGGAGAAUCGGAGACUCUCUCCUCAGAUAUCUUUUGUAUAUAUAUAGCUCAAGAGCCGAAAGAAGGGCGUAAAAUGGACUUGUAAGAUAGAGAAAGACAUUACUGGAAAUGUACUAUCCUCUCUCAUCAAUCUUCAACAAAACUUGAUGUUAUAAGCCAGUGGUGGAAGCCAUAUUUCUGGAAGCAGUAUUCCUGCAACAGCUUAACGAUGAUAUUAUCUUGGUUUUAGUAGAUGAUUGUAUAUCCUCAUGAACCAUUUCUCGUUGAUGCCUAUUGAACAG
This 882-nucleotide long non-coding RNA is filed under the name Spirodela polyrhiza (greater duckweed). Its description in RNAcentral is "long non-coding RNA (SPOL_LNC000557)". The record is from RNAcentral. Lineage: Eukaryota; Viridiplantae; Streptophyta; Magnoliopsida; Alismatales; Araceae.